GUCUAUGGCCAUGCCACCCUGAACAAGCCCCAUCCUGUCUGAUCUCGGAAGCUAAGCAGGGUUGGGCCUGGUUAGUACUUGGAUGGGAGACCACUUAGGAAGAUCAGGUGCUAUAGGCA
Molecule: ribosomal RNA, 119 nt
Filed under: Pteropus alecto (black flying fox)
Lineage: Eukaryota; Metazoa; Chordata; Mammalia; Chiroptera; Pteropodidae
Source: RNAcentral